RNAcentral lists this transfer RNA (73 nucleotides) under Neotoma lepida (desert woodrat). It matches the Rfam family "tRNA". From Rfam's summary of the family: Transfer RNA (tRNA) molecules are approximately 80 nucleotides in length. Their secondary structure includes four short double-helical elements and three loops (D, anti-codon, and T loops). Lineage: Eukaryota; Metazoa; Chordata; Mammalia; Rodentia; Cricetidae. The record is from Rfam by way of RNAcentral.
ACGCGGCUAGUUCAGUCAGUAGAGCAUGAGGCUCUUAAUCUCAGGGUCGUGGGUUUGUGCCCCAUGUUGGGCA